UGGAGUUCUGAGCUGGUUUAAAAUGCACUACUGAAAUGGCUAACAGAACAAACUCCUCUGAGUAUUUUUGGUCGUAUGAAUAUUAUUGGGAUUAUAUAGAUCCAAUUCCAGUAGAUGGAAGCAAGUUGAAGGUUAAUAAAUAUUCUAUUGUCAUAGCCUUUUGGGUUGGUCUUGCUGCGUUUGUGACAUUUCUUUUCCUUAUUUUACUGUAUAUGUCCCGCUCUGGAUCAACUCCAGUAAAACAAGUGAUUGUAGGGAACCAGAUAGAAGAAAGCAGUUCCAGCGGUGAACAGCCUCACUGCGAUGAUCUCAGCAGCCCAUACCCAGAUGUGGUUGCUUCUCAAACACCUCCCUCUCUGUCAGGUGAAACUGGCAUUCAUG
This is a long non-coding RNA of Columba livia (rock pigeon), 381 nucleotides long. RefSeq lists it as uncharacterized. Lineage: Eukaryota; Metazoa; Chordata; Aves; Columbiformes; Columbidae. The transcript is spliced from 3 exons. The record is from RefSeq and is a predicted model, not a curated record.